CGAAGCCCAAGGUCAGGAAGUCAAGAUGGCCGCACCAGCCGGAAGUUCCGGCGCCGAAGUUGCGGGACGCCUGAGCCGGAAGUAUUUCGGAAAUGACGUCCGGACAAGCCCCCUCGCCCGCAUGGGCUGUUUUUGGCGCGCUCCUCGAAACAACCAACCGACAUCAUCCUACCACAAAUGGGAGGAGAAACGAGACACCUUUUGUCCCACCUCCACUUUCUUCGAGAGUGACGCGUAUAGCCACCCAAUCACACAAGCUAGAAGUCUAUUGACUGCUUGACUCCUCCCUCCAUCCGCUAGGAUCCUCUCUCUACCAGCACUGAACUAGUGACUCCGGCUUCCCAACACAUAACAGCAUAUACCUUUAAUCCCAGCACUUGGCAGGAAGAGGCCAGUCUGAUUUACAAACCAGCCAAGACUACAGAGUGAGACCCUGCUGUAGGAUAGAGCAAAAGCAGUACUAAUGGGCCUCCUGAGCCUUGCAUGGAGGGAACGGCAGACGUAAAGGCACAGAGUGCAAGGCAGAGUGCUAGCAUGUGAUGAUCGUCCUUGCAAAUGAGACCAAGCCGGAAAGACUGCCUCAAGGCCCACAACAGCCUUGGCUACUUAAUAAGAUUGCUCCCUGCCCAAAAGUAAGCAAACCUCUCAGCGCUCCCAGCCACAGCCUCUACCAAGCCAAGCCACCUGCCAGACAAGCCAAGGACUCUCCUUCCCUCAGGACCCAGCGGGAGCUCUCUCCUCUUUUCCCCUUCAGCCCCAGGUUAGAUUCAACCCACAGGUGCUCAAGAGCCUGAGGACCCCCAAGCCAGCUGUGGUGUCCUGCAGCUUCCCAUAGCUUGACACCAACCUGCCGCUGACAUGGGAUCCAGCAAGGCCCCCACUGACUGGUCCUCUACCUACCACCACCACCCUGCCCAAGCAUAUGGUGACAUUCUCUGUCCACAGGACGUUCUGAGCUCCAGUUCCCAGGGCCUGAACUGUGCCUACAGAAGCCCAGCUUGGAGAACAAGCUGUGUAGCUGUCCUGCUACAGAAGUCAGUCAGGCCUGACAGGCUUACUCUUCCUUUGGGCCUUUGUACUCUGUGAGGACAGACUUCAGAGUACUCGUUGAAAACGUUGAUGAGGAAUAUUCUUAGUAACACAGCAAACACAGAAACAAAAUCCUUCCACUCACACAGAACACUGAAUUCAUGUCUAGGCAUUGAUGCCUAAAGUCACAGUGCCUGGCUCUGGGCCUGCUCUAGGAUGCCAAGCAGACAGUAUUCUGAACAUCUCUUACCUCACCCCACAACUUCAGGGAAAUGGCACAAACAC
Long non-coding RNA from Mastomys coucha (southern multimammate mouse), 1314 nucleotides. RefSeq lists it as uncharacterized. NCBI's taxonomy places the organism in Eukaryota, Metazoa, Chordata, Mammalia, Rodentia, Muridae. The transcript has 4 exons. The record is from RefSeq and is a predicted model, not a curated record.